CUGCAAUCCACAAUGAUGCCCACAGCAGUUAGAAUUCUCCUAGACAAACAUGUAUAGAAAUCCCAGCACUGGAGAGUUGAUGAGAAAGUGGGCAGAUCGGCUCUAUUCACAGCUGGGGGAAACUGACCACUUUAACAAAAGGAAGAAUGCUCAGGUAACAUCUAGCCCAAAGGUCGCUCAGGAAUGUUCAAAGCACUCAGGAGAGAGUGAAGUAUCCCAUCUUUGGGACACACAAGUCCCACUCAGCAUCCAUUGAAAGCGCAGCACCAAAAGCAUUGAGAUGGUGGCAGGACCUCAUUUUCCCUCUUCUCUAUUCCCUUACUCUUUCUCCAGCACAGAAGAAGCCUUGAUCUGCUUAGAAGCACUCCCCAGCAUCUGAACCAUCUCUUCCAAGCUAUUCCCCCAGAAGACAGGAAGACUGGGCGGUUUCCUCUGUAACAGCUCCCAGAACUGCAGCUUCCAGUGGUUUCUCCCCACCAUUGCCCCUCUUGGUUUGCUGGAUUUUUUAAAAGACAAGACAGUGCUCAGGAAAGAACGUUCCAUUUGCUGUUAACUUCAGAGAUUUGCAGAAGAGUCCUCUGCCCUGCUUUUCUGAAAGGCACCUGGGGUUCAGGACAAGCUUCUCUUGUAGACCCGGGUGCAUUGCUUGCCAGAGAGAUCUCUGAAAGGUGGUUCUGCUUUCCAGGGAAC
RNAcentral lists this long non-coding RNA (690 nucleotides) under Homo sapiens (human). RNAcentral's name for it is "HSALNT0346334". Lineage: Eukaryota; Metazoa; Chordata; Mammalia; Primates; Hominidae. The record is from RNAcentral.